This 77-nucleotide transfer RNA is filed under the name Hafnia alvei. RNAcentral's name for it is "tRNA-Met(cat)". It matches the Rfam family "tRNA". From Rfam's summary of the family: Transfer RNA (tRNA) molecules are approximately 80 nucleotides in length. Their secondary structure includes four short double-helical elements and three loops (D, anti-codon, and T loops). Lineage: Bacteria; Pseudomonadati; Pseudomonadota; Gammaproteobacteria; Enterobacterales; Hafniaceae. The record is from RNAcentral.
UGGCCCUUUAGCUCAGUUGGUUAGAGCAGUCGACUCAUAAUCGAUUGAUCGCUGAUUCAAGUCCAGCAAGGGCCAUC